RNAcentral lists this ribosomal RNA (876 nucleotides) under Enterococcus faecium. Its description in RNAcentral is "bacterial SSU rRNA". It matches the Rfam family "Bacterial small subunit ribosomal RNA", at positions 28 to 875 of the family's 1533-position model. Lineage: Bacteria; Bacillati; Bacillota; Bacilli; Lactobacillales; Enterococcaceae. The record is from RNAcentral.
GACGAACGCUGGCGGCGUGCCUAAUACAUGCAAGUCGAACGCUUCUUUUUCCACCGGAGCUUGCUCCACCGGAAAAAGAAGAGUGGCGAACGGGUGAGUAACACGUGGGUAACCUGCCCAUCAGAAGGGGAUAACACUUGGAAACAGGUGCUAAUACCGUAUAACAAUCAAAACCGCAUGGUUUUGAUUUGAAAGGCGCUUUCGGGUGUCGCUGAUGGAUGGACCCGCGGUGCAUUAGCUAGUUGGUGAGGUAACGGCUCACCAAGGCCACGAUGCAUAGCCGACCUGAGAGGGUGAUCGGCCACAUUGGGACUGAGACACGGCCCAAACUCCUACGGGAGGCAGCAGUAGGGAAUCUUCGGCAAUGGACGAAAGUCUGACCGAGCAACGCCGCGUGAGUGAAGAAGGUUUUCGGAUCGUAAAACUCUGUUGUUAGAGAAGAACAAGGAUGAGAGUAACUGUUCAUCCCUUGACGGUAUCUAACCAGAAAGCCACGGCUAACUACGUGCCAGCAGCCGCGGUAAUACGUAGGUGGCAAGCGUUGUCCGGAUUUAUUGGGCGUAAAGCGAGCGCAGGCGGUUUCUUAAGUCUGAUGUGAAAGCCCCCGGCUCAACCGGGGAGGGUCAUUGGAAACUGGGAGACUUGAGUGCAGAAGAGGAGAGUGGAAUUCCAUGUGUAGCGGUGAAAUGCGUAGAUAUAUGGAGGAACACCAGUGGCGAAGGCGGCUCUCUGGUCUGUAACUGACGCUGAGGCUCGAAAGCGUGGGGAGCAAACAGGAUUAGAUACCCUGGUAGUCCACGCCGUAAACGAUGAGUGCUAAGUGUUGGAGGGUUUCCGCCCUUCAGUGCUGCAGCUAACGCAUAAGCACUCCGCCUG